CUUUCAGUGGUCAGCUAGAAUUGGUUCCACAUCAGAUAUGUGUGUGCUAGCAGGGGUCCCCCUUUUUCUGCUUGGCUUCCUGGUGAGGGAAAAGCAAGAAGAAAGGCAGAAAGCAAAGCGAUGUCUGAUCUGAAGGAGGAACAAGGCUCCUAGAAGUGUUUUUCUCUGUCAUCUACCACUACUGUGCCAGAAGCUGCUGAUUCUACCUCUGGGUGAAUUCUACAACUGACUUUGGUUACUAGUGAGACCUCUGAUGAGACUUCAAGAACACGAAGAAAUUCCCUCUCGGAGGCUUGCGUUGAAGCUCUUUCAUCAUUAGUCUGCUUAUUGGAAUCCACGACUCUGAAUUGGCCUGCCAAUUCAUAUAAAUAGGCCCAGAGGUACGUCUAAUGCUUUCAUCUAAUCAAAAGAUAUGACUUUUACGUGUUG
This 429-nucleotide long non-coding RNA is filed under the name Sarcophilus harrisii (Tasmanian devil). RNAcentral describes it as "lncRNA (ENSSHAG00000029938.1)". The record is from RNAcentral. Lineage: Eukaryota; Metazoa; Chordata; Mammalia; Dasyuromorphia; Dasyuridae.